GAACGACUCCAAAAUGGCGGAGAAAGAGCACAACUUGAGCUGGAUCGUCCACGAGGCCGUUGCCAAGAUCCUGAGCGACCGGAGCGCGAGGACCGCGAGACGGACUUUGGACGAGGUGCUGCGGACCAAGCGGGAGACCCAUCUCGUCUGGGGCUACCUUCUGGACGUCCUGGAGGAGGCCGCCACUGAGCUGCAGAGGAGCGUCGACGCCGAGCUGAACCAGGAGCUGCUCACGAGCCUGGAACAGAGAUUCAAGAGACAGACCGGCUCCUCCGCCCUCAACACCACCGGGCGCUUCACGACCCUGAACCAAACUCUCUCCUUCAGCGGCUGGAGCCGAUCCCGCAACGACUUCAGCAGAUUCUCUUGAGUCAAGGAUUCGACGCCCGAUCGAGCAUCGCAGACAUGGUGAGCUUCGUCGUGCAGAUCUUCCAAUCGUUCGCCGAUCGACUGAGGUCGGAGAUACCUGCGGUGGGAUCAGCCGCCUCCACGGAGACAACAAACUCUUCGACCGCCUUCUCCCGAACCUAGCCGUUCUUGCAGCGUCCCCACGUCAAAACGCGCGCAACACCCCACAGACCUCCGUGAACGACAUCCAGCGACUCAUCUCCAAGGGCAAGUCGGACGAACUGAGCGCCGUCUGGGAUGCGAUACUCAACUCUAACGAUUCCAGGGUCUUGAAACGCGUAAAGAGAGUAAGCACCCCUCAAAAAACCGGUGAAAAUUCCGUGGUCCCUCCCUCUGUCAAGACGAACAUGAUAGAUGAUACAAGGUAGCGAAGAAUAUCUCGAGGAGACAAAUCCCUUUGGUCUACAAGCCUGUUCCCAUCAUCAGCACGAUAACUGUAACCAGCGCCCCCUCGCGGAACGUUCCCGAAACUCCGGUCGAGAAGCUGCAAGCGGACACCAAUCAGAGCAGAGGCAGCCGAGUGGACGUCUUGGAGGUACAAGGGAAACCGAUGGGUAACGUUACCGUCACCUCUUCGCCUCAAGGGAGUGUCUCGUCGAACCAGACUGCCAAACCGGUUGUGGAGACGUCAGUGCCGAAGGCUAAGAGCGAUCCCGUUCGGGUCUCCGCCGCGACGAUUCCCAACGAUCUGAUCAGGAAGACAGAUGACAACCAAGCGAGCGCAGGACUGCCUGGGAGCACCCUAGGGACGCCGAAGGAUGUCCAAGGAGGCUCGGUUUCGGGGGCCAACACGAGCGUGAGUGACUCACCAAAAAUAUCGACAACGCCCGCGUUGACAAAUCCUCCGGCAAAAUUUGAGCUCCUGCAGCAGACGAGCUCGACAGUGUUGGCGAAAGUGGAGCCAUCGAACGCAGCAAAAUCACCUGUUCCAAACCACUCUGUUGAACCUUCGAUUACGCCUGCUCCGACGAUCACGAAGCCGGAAAUCAACAGCCCGCCAAAAUCCCAAGUUGCCACGAACGCAGUAAGUGACCCGGUCAAGGCAUCAGUCCCAGUGAGCCAACUUCCGGUCAUAAAUCCACCCGCAAAACCAGUUUUAAUUCCCGCUAUCCCUGCGACAAACAUUUCCACUCAGCCCGCAAUCACUUCCUCCAAUGAGCUACCUAAGUCUGUUGCUUUGCUAAAUACGUCAGUGCAACCGGUGAGCAUCAGUGAUCCGAUGAACGACUCUGCCAAAGCAGCCAACAGCUCGGCAGUCAAAUCUACUGUCAAUCCCAGUUCAACCGAUGCCGCCGUGAUGAAGUCUCCCACCGAAACCCAGAACACCGGAACCGGAAACCAAACCGCCGGAACCGGAAACCAAACCGCCGGAACCGGAAACCAAACCGCCGGAACCGGAAACCAAACCAUCGGCACCGGAAUCCAAACCGCCGGAACCGGAAGCCAAACCAACGGAACUCAACCUAGCUCAAUUGGGGCGUCCUCUCAAACCUUCCCACCAAGCAUUGCGAUUCAGUAUCUGAACAGCGGCGUGAGUUCAGAGACGAAGACUCUGCCAGGUGUCGUCGUCAGCAACGUGCCACCGGUGUCCGGCAAUGGAUCCAGCACUAUCGUCAACGUUUCGACGUUAGCCCUCACCAAUGUGACCGGUUUCAUGAAAGAGAUCCCAGACCAAGCAGCUGAGCUGACUCAAAGCUCCAAAUUUUCCGAUGCAAAUAUUUUGGAGCACAGCGACUAUUUCAACCGUGAUUCCAUCAAAUUUGCGGGAGACAUACGAACUGGAGGUAUUCAACAGUAUGCUGGAUUCGUGGUAGUUUGGUGGUACUGA
Molecule: long non-coding RNA, 2236 nt
Filed under: Bemisia tabaci
Lineage: Eukaryota; Metazoa; Arthropoda; Insecta; Hemiptera; Aleyrodidae
Description: lncRNA ENSSSA3NGG010926
Source: RNAcentral